GACGAACGCUGGCGGCGUGCCUAAUACAUGCAAGUAGAACGCACAGUUUAUACCGUAGCUUGCUACACCAUAGACUGUGAGUUGCGAACGGGUGAGUAACGCGUAGGUAACCUGCCUGGUAGCGGGGGAUAACUAUUGGAAACGAUAGCUAAUACCGCAUAAUAUUAAUUAUUGCAUGAUAAUUGAUUGAAAGAUGCAACUGCAUCACUACCAGAUGGACCUGCGUUGUAUUAGCUAGUAGGUGAGGUAACGGCUCACCUAGGCGACGAUACAUAGCCGACCUGAGAGGGUGAUCGGCCACACUGGGACUGAGACACGGCCCAGACUCCUACGGGAGGCAGCAGUAGGGAAUCUUCAGCAAUGGACGAAAGUCUGACCGAGCAACGCCGCGUGAGUGAAGAAGGUUUUCGGAUCGUAAAGCUCUGUUGUAAGAGAAGAACGGGUGUGAGAGUGGAAAGUUCACACUGUGACGGUAUCUUACCAGAAAGGGACGGAUAACUACGUG
RNAcentral lists this ribosomal RNA (505 nucleotides) under uncultured bacterium. RNAcentral describes it as "partial 16S ribosomal RNA". It matches the Rfam family "Bacterial small subunit ribosomal RNA", at positions 28 to 507 of the family's 1533-position model. The record is from RNAcentral.